This is a long non-coding RNA of Anas platyrhynchos (mallard), 717 nucleotides long. RefSeq lists it as uncharacterized. NCBI's taxonomy places the organism in Eukaryota, Metazoa, Chordata, Aves, Anseriformes, Anatidae. The record is from RefSeq and is a predicted model, not a curated record.
ACUUCUUUUGCAGUAUGUGCUGGCUUUGAAUGACUCAGAGUCCUUCACCCUUUUUGUUCCAGGAAGCGUGCAUCACCUUCCCACCUCUCCCAUAAAUGAAGUGUGGUGGCAGAGUGUUUAAAGUAAGACCCAGAGGGCCUAAGUUGGAGGUUCCAGGCAGCUGAGGACUCCAGCUGAAGCUCUGGAGAUGACCUGGUGGCAUAUCCUCUCUGGCUGCUACGGCAUUUACUUGCUGUAUGAACAUGAGAAGGAAUAUUGAGGACAGCAUUCACAGCCACUCUCAUCCACUGAAAAAGAGCCAUCACUUCACACACCAGCUACCAAGCGGGAGGAAGAGGUGCUGUCGCUCUCCAGCUGCUCUCACCCUGCCUUUGGUACCAGCUUUGCUCCUUCCUGAGGCCUAACCUAAUCACGCUGAAGUUUUGGCAUGCCAGGACUCCAAGCCGCAUGACAAAACAGAAAAUUAGAUCCCCUCCACCACCACCAUGGUAUUAGCUGAAUAUCACAGGAGAUUCAUUAAAUUCUGGGCAGCCUGAUGCAGCCCAGCAUGGGAAUGAGGAACCUGGCCUCCUCUCACAUGGCCUCAAUGCAUGUGAGGGAGAGAAGGGAGAGCAGUGCUGAGGCUACAACUUCUGGCUAGCUGUUAUAACCCUCAUCAGAUGUCCCUUUGAGCCAUUUUUGAGCACCACAAGUUCAAAUCAAGAGCAAGUUCUUACA